UACGGGGGGAGCAAGCGUUGUUCGGAUUUACUGGGCGUAAAGGGCGCGUAGGCGGCGUGACAAGUCACUUGUGAAAUCUCCGGGCUUAACCCGGAGCGGCCAAGUGAUACUGUCGUGCUAGAGUGCGGAAGGGGCUACUGGAAUUCUCGGUGUAGCGGUGAAAUGCGUAGAUAUCGAGAGGAACACCUGCGGCGAAGGCGGGUAGCUGGGCCGACACUGACGCUGAUGCGCGAAAGCGUGGGGAGCGAACAGG
This 253-nucleotide ribosomal RNA is filed under the name uncultured bacterium. RNAcentral's name for it is "partial 16S ribosomal RNA". It matches the Rfam family "Bacterial small subunit ribosomal RNA", at positions 524 to 776 of the family's 1533-position model. The record is from RNAcentral.